This 468-nucleotide ribosomal RNA is filed under the name uncultured bacterium. RNAcentral's name for it is "partial 16S ribosomal RNA". It matches the Rfam family "Bacterial small subunit ribosomal RNA", at positions 28 to 507 of the family's 1533-position model. The record is from RNAcentral.
GACGAACGCUGGCGGCGUGCUUAACACAUGCAAGUCGAACGGAAAGGCCCUGCUUUUGUGGGGUGCUCGAUUGGCGAACGGGUGAGUAACACGUGAGUAACCUGCCCUUGACUUUGGGAUAACUUUAGGAAACUGGGGCUAAUACCGGAUAGGAGCUCCUGCUGCAUGGUGGGGGUUGGAAAGUUUCGGCGGUUGGGGAUGGACUCGCGGCUUAUCAGCUUGUUUGUGUGGUAGUGGCUUACCAAGGCUUUGACGGGUAGCCGGCCUGAGAGGGUGACCGGCCACAUUGGGACUGAGAUACGGCCCAGACUCCUACGGGAGGCAGCAGUGGGGAAUAUUGCGCAAUGGGCGGAAGCCUGAUGCAACAACGCCGCGUGCGGGAUGACGGCCUUCGGGUUGUAAACCGCUUUCGCCUGUGACGAAGCGUGAGUGACGGUAAUGGGUAAAGAAGCACCGGCUAACUACGUG